CGAGUCUUAACUGGGCGUUAAGUUGCAGGGUAUAGACCCGAAACCCGGUGAUCUAGCCAUGGGCAGGUUGAAGGUUGGGUAACACUAACUGGAGGACCGAACCGACUAAUGUUGAAAAAUUAGCGGAUGACUUGUGGCUGGGGGUGAAAGGCCAAUCAAACCGGGAGAUAGCUGGUUCUCCCCGAAAGCUAUUUAGGUAGCGCCUCGUGAACUCAUCUUCGGGGGUAGAGCACUGUUUCGGCUAGGGGGUCAUCCCGACUUACCAACCCGAUGCAAACUACGAAUACCGAAGAAUGUUAUCACGGGAGACACACGGCGGGUGCUAACGUCCGUCGUGAAGAGGGAAACAACCCAGACCGCCAGCUAAGGUCCCAAAGUCAUGGUUAAGUGGGAAACGAUGUGGGAAGGCCCAGACAGCCAGGAUGUUGGCUUAGAAGCAGCCAUCAUUUAAAGAAAGCGUAAUAGCUCACUGGUCGAGUCGGCCUGCGCGGAAGAUGUAACGGGGCUAAACCAUGCACCGAAGCUGCGGCAGCGACGCUUAUGCG
This 545-nucleotide ribosomal RNA is filed under the name Klebsiella oxytoca. RNAcentral's name for it is "partial 23S ribosomal RNA". It matches the Rfam family "Bacterial large subunit ribosomal RNA", at positions 678 to 1220 of the family's 2925-position model. Lineage: Bacteria; Pseudomonadati; Pseudomonadota; Gammaproteobacteria; Enterobacterales; Enterobacteriaceae. The record is from RNAcentral.